AAUAAAAUCUUUAAAAAAAAUGAGGUCAUUAGGAUGGACCCUAAUCCAUUGUCACUUCUGUCCUUACUAGAAGAGAUCAGGACCCAGACACAGAGACACCACGUGGAGAGACACAGGGAGAAAGUGGCCAAAGAGAGCCGAGGAGAGCCGAGGAGAGCAGCAUCAGAAGAAACCAACGCCAGCCGCACCUUGAUCUCAGACUUGCAGCCUCCAGAACAUACCUUAAAACAAAAUCAGCAACCCAGCAUAACUAAGAGUUGGGCCGGCAUUGGAAGUUCUGCCAUGAAGUGGACACAGAGAGCCCCAGAAGUCUGGAAUAGGUAGAAAUUCCCAAAACCCGUGGAAAGGACGGCUCUCAUCUCACUAUAAUUUUUGAUAAUUAUAGCUAACAGCAG
Molecule: non-coding RNA, 395 nt
Organism: Leptonychotes weddellii (Weddell seal)
Lineage: Eukaryota; Metazoa; Chordata; Mammalia; Carnivora; Phocidae
Source: RefSeq, a predicted model, not a curated record